CUCGGCCAUACCAAAUCCUGCAUAUUGGUGCUUCAAGAUGUCUACGUCUAGACAGCAAUGGGACCUUAGAACGAGGACUAUGGCCAAAUCACCCCCUCUCAACACGACACAGCAUCAAGCACGACGUCAGGAGAAACACUCCAAGCAGGAGAGAGACAAUGCUGCGCUGCUUCUGAGAAACGUUGCAGUAAAACGGUGAUGAAUUGUCAUGAAAUUGGAUAUGGUGAGUGUGCAGAGUGGUGUGACUUCAAAGUCAAUCCCGCAGUCAUAGUCGGAAUGUUCUCCUCCGUGUGGUUGAGGACACUCUGCUUUCACAACGCUGAUACGCCGUUGUCCUUGGCUACAUGAUGUAGCAGGACAACCGCGUACGUUAAACAAAUACCAGGCCAAUCCGCGGCGACGAUGGCAGGGCUGCAACACAGGAAGUGCAAUUUUUAAUCCCAGAUCGUCAUCCUCGGCAAAGCUUCUCUAUCUUCGCCUUGGGACAUGGUGCUCAAUGUUUGUUCCUUAGAAGUAUUAUUUUGCAAAACACAAUAUUCAAAGAGCUGUGAGAUGACAGACAGCUGAGCUCUAUCAUUUGUCCACAUAUCCAUCUAUGUAGUGAGCAGCGUACCAUUUCCUUUGUCACAGUGCCUUGUAUCUCAUAUUCAGUUAUGUUUGCUCAGAGAACAAAGCGUCCCCACUGCUCCAGUCCCUUUUUUCGGUGGUUUGCCUAAAAGCAUCUCUUUUUUUUUUCAUACACAGGGAAGCGGUGCUAGUGCCAGUGGUGUGCACUCGCACAUUGUGACAGAGCAAGCAGAGACGUAAAGAAGCAUCAGACUCUUAUGUACCGAAUGGAAUUGACCUGAUGAUGAUAUUUUUUUAUGAUGAUGUAUGAUAAUUUUGUGUGAGAGGGGCUUUAAGUGGCGGCGAGAGAAAAACAACAGUCCAAGUUCAGCCAGUAUAUCAAAACGUCAUACUGAAUGCUAGUGAUGGACACCAGCCACAACAAGAUAAUAGGCUCAUUAAUGCUCAAAAAUUGUUGACAGCUGCUACCAAUUUGUCAUUGUGGAUAAUAUGACUUCUUUUAACCCGACAUAUUGCACCACAAAACACUGAAACCAGCCCAAAGCAAAAUCAUCUCCUCCUUUCUACACACACAAAAUAAAAGGUGGCUUGCAAUUGAGUGCUGUGCAAAUGGUGUCAAAAGUGAUUUGUCCGUGGCCGCACACUGGUAGCUAACCAGUCCUGAGGCUUUCAGAUAGAAACAAGCCCCCGGAAUUUAGAAGUGAACAUUGAUAGCUUCUGACAAUUGGCCAGCACUGGUUGUAAAUCUUUGUCACAAAUACUUACACUGAGCAUCAAAUCUCGUAUGGCUUGGUGUUAUUGGUCUAGCACUUGCGAUACCAACACCAGUAUCUGCUCCAUAUUGGCUAAUUAUACAUAAAAAAGAUCAAAGUGCAUACGCUUUUAUUAAUGAAAUAGCGUGCACGCACUGUGAGGUAAUUCAUCACAUGUUGAAGGGAAUUUAGCAUUAAAGGUGAAGGAAAUAACGCACAGAUGAAUAUUCCUAUACAUUAGAUGUAACUCCUGUACUUGGCCUGCUACCCUGCUGGCAAGGGAUGUUAUCUUCUCAUGCAAUAAUAAUAAUCGAGCUAUCAUAACGUUUUUUAGCAUUGAGCAUAAAAACGUAUUGAAUAGGGAUGUAA
Gasterosteus aculeatus aculeatus (three-spined stickleback) is the source of this 1688-nucleotide non-coding RNA. Lineage: Eukaryota; Metazoa; Chordata; Actinopteri; Perciformes; Gasterosteidae. The record is from RefSeq and is a predicted model, not a curated record.